UCUGUGUGUGUUGCAUUUUAACGUUGCGUCGUUUGUUUUCUCUUAUUUUUGAGUGUAAAUUCACAUUGCGAUAAGACGUGUCACGGUACUUGUCUAUCCCAAAUUCAUGUAUUUGGUUUUGAUGUUAUAUUUGUUGUUCUCGUGGGAUUUUGUCUGAUGCUUGGUCCGUUUCUGUGUGUGUUGCAUUGUAGUUUUGUGUCGUUGUUCUCCUGUUGUGUUUGAUGCGUUUCCCUCGGUUUUGGUUUGUUACCCCGAUUUUGUUUUUUGUCCAUGGAUUUAUG
This 281-nucleotide long non-coding RNA is filed under the name Mytilus galloprovincialis (Mediterranean mussel). Lineage: Eukaryota; Metazoa; Mollusca; Bivalvia; Mytilida; Mytilidae. The record is from RNAcentral.